Molecule: long non-coding RNA, 3058 nt
Organism: Malaya genurostris
Lineage: Eukaryota; Metazoa; Arthropoda; Insecta; Diptera; Culicidae
Exons: 4
Source: RefSeq, a predicted model, not a curated record
AAUGUUUUUUCACAUACCAUGACAUCAAAAGUAAAUACUAUUCAAUAUGCAAUAUGUGGAUUGAGUGAUUUAUUAUCUAAAUGCUACUUCCAACAUAUCUCAAUCCACUGCUCUUAACGAUGUAGCGAGCAGAUUUUUAUUUGGUUUGUCACAACUGCAUCAAAAGUGGGCCGAUGUAUAGUAUGUACUAUCCACAGCUGGUUGUGCGAAAGAAGCAUGCGGAAAGUGAAUAAAUUUUAAUAAUAGCACUACAAAUACGGUGUAACGUUUAUUUGUUCUCCCUCUGAACUUCGAAUGCACCGCUUUAUGGACUGAUAAUGGUGUCCGAGUACGAACAGCUUGCAUACGACUGGAGAACUGAAAAGCAGCCCCUCGCCAUUAUCGUCAAUGGUUUCGAGCCACUCGACCAGAACUGCCUGGAUAAAGGAACACGCAGAUUUUUUCUCAUCGGUGUUAUUUUUUCAUUUCCUAUCGAAUUCAGCGAUAGGAAAAGGUGGUUCGUGUCCGGAAACAUAGGGAUGUGAUAUCUGUGGACAAUUGAUUUUUAAUAGGACCAUAUUCAGCUUAUGCAUAUUAGCCGGAAGGCAAUGGUCGCAGCAUAUGUUAAGGGAGUUACAACAACAUGAAAUUGUACGCGAAUGCAUUUGCUUAUUUCGAGGAAAAUGUAUAGAUAAGCACACUCAUUCAAGAAUGGCUACAACGCUAAAUUCAAAACUCAACAUAUAUUUAGACACGCUACGUCGAUUCUACCGUUUUCAUUGAAAUGUCUUUCAUCUAUGUAGUGAUAAUAUGCUGUAGAUUUACGACCGGAUGAAUCAAUCAAGUUAGUUAGUACAUCUUAUUGCAUUAACUACUCAACGGAUUGAUGUAGCUACCUAAUAGGACAAAUUAAAUAUUUUAUGACUUUCUCAUAUAAUACGUGAAGAUAAAAAAUGUCCGUGAAUAUGAUUGAAUCGAUUUUCACAAAUUUAGAAGGAAAUAAAAGGUGUUAUGGUCCCAUAUAUUGUUAUUGAAUUUUAUCUUUUAUCAAUUAAUGCGUUUUAAGUGAAAAAAAUCAACUCAUUUUUUACCGUACCAUACUAAUCAGUUCGUCGAUAUCGCAAAAUAUCAUAUGUGCAUAUGUGGAUCUGGGUGUGUAACGUGGAUCAAAGUUGUAACCUCAAAGCUAAAUGUUCUUCGUUUUAAAAACCUUCCAACCUAUAAGCAGCUGAAGCAGCCAGAACUUUGCCGGGGCGAUAAUAACACUCAAACGCUCGGGUUGGGAUUUUCAUCGAUUUUUUUUUUCAAAAAUUUGUGACUACUGAAUAAAUUGACCGAUCUUGAUGCAUUUGGUGUCAGAAAAACCGGGUAUUCUUUAAUUUCAUUCUGUCUUAAUCGGUGUUGAUAUGGUCCAAAAACACCGGUGUUAUUCUAGAUCGCCUUGGGGUAAGUCGGUUUUGCCAUUUGGGGAUUAUUGAUUUUUGAAUUCAUUUUUUCACCGCGAUCUUAAUUGUAACGUUGCUAACUAUAAACUGUCAAAGUUAGGAUUCGAUCAGUGGCGCGACAUGUGUCGACAAGUUAAGCCCGUAUUAGAGUGAGUUGCGCUGCGGUACACUCCGCGUGUGCGGGUCGUGAUUGAAAAAUUCACUUGCUCCGAAAGUAUUAAUCUUUCCACUCUGAAACUUUGCCAAGAUUGAGUUAAACCCCUAUGCCCUAGCACAAAAUUUGGCUAACCCCUGAAUGCCCUAAGGCAUCUUUUUUUAACUAAAAAUAAAACAAAAAUAGUUUGAAAUUUUUUUAAUUUGUUUAUUUAUUUUUAACUUUUUUAUUAAAUAAACUAUAAAGGUUGUUCAAUGGAAUCGCUUACUUGAAAGCUAAAUAAAAGACGCACAUUUCAUGUCUUAUACUAAUUUUUGUAUCUUUAUUAGAUUUUACAGUAUAGGCUGUUGAAAAAAGGCUCAUUUUUGUAAACGCGAAACAUAAAAAAUCAUGUCUCGAAAAUUCCACGUACAAUAUUGAAAUAAAAAAUACAUGUCGAAUAUUUUCGAGUUCUUUACCGAAAAAAAAUAGUUGGAUGUAAAAAAAUAUUGGGUGGCUGAUUUUGCGUGGAAUGCCCCAUCUAUAUCUACUCUGAAAUUGUUUGUGACCAUGAAUACUUUUCAUUCCCACUAGAACGUUGAGCAAUCAACAAAAUAGCAAGGCGACUCUACUAAGGAGUGUAUCGAAAAUAAGCUAUUCAUAUACAUUUGUGCUGUACGCAUGUAUUUGUGAAAAUUGGAGAAGCGGUUUAGAAUUCAUCAUACCAGUGUUAAAACCAUCAUUAAUAAGUUUGGGGAACACUACUCUUUGGAUGAGCUACCAGGAAGAGGCAGAAAACCCCAUUCUUCCAACCCGAAACUGGACCAGAAAGUGGUAUCUCUAAUCAUGAAGAACAAAUCAAUGUCAAUACGUGAUUUGGCCAAAAAAGCGGGAACGAGUGUCGGAAUGAUCCAGCGUAUCAAGAGGCGAAAUCACAUAAAGACCUACAAGAAGCAGAAAAUCUCGAAACAAAGUGUAGAAGAAGCGAGCAGCAACAAGGGCCCUGAAAUUGUAUGCGCGUCUUUUGCAGUGUCCGGAUGCAUGCGUUUUGAUGAACGAUGAGACUUAUGUAAAGGAGGACACCAAAACCCUUCCAGGUCCACAAUACCGGAACUAUAAACGCAGAAAUAUUCGAUCUGAGUGUCUCCAGAAGAGAUUGCUGCCUUUAUAUAAGAAGCAUAGUACACCUCCACUGUUUUGGCCGGAUUUAUCGUCGGCUCACUAUGCCAAAACCACUCUCAAUUGGCAUGCGGAAAAGGGUAUAAACUUCGUUUAGAAAAAUAUCAAUCCACUAAAUUGCCCUCUGCUUCGACCCAUCUAACGUUACUGGGCAAUCGUAAAGUAGGUCUUCAAGAAGACUGGUAAGGCAGCUGGGAACAUGCAGGAGUUCAAAAAAAUUUGGGCUCAAGCGUCCAAAAAAUGCGAUUCUACACUUGUCCGGAAUUUGAUGAAGAGCUUUCGAUCAAAACAUCGAAAAUUCGUGAAUGAAUAUCUUAAAUUU